RNAcentral lists this non-coding RNA (118 nucleotides) under Gorilla gorilla gorilla (western lowland gorilla). Lineage: Eukaryota; Metazoa; Chordata; Mammalia; Primates; Hominidae. The record is from Rfam by way of RNAcentral.
GCCGGGUGCGGUAGCUUACACCUGUAAUCCCAGCACUUUGGGAGGCCGAGGUGGGUGGAUCAUCUGAGGUCAGGAGUUUUGAGACCAGCCUGGCCAACAUGGUGAAACCCCAUCUCUA